Long non-coding RNA from Micropterus dolomieu (smallmouth bass), 704 nucleotides. RefSeq lists it as uncharacterized. The transcript is spliced from 4 exons. The record is from RefSeq and is a predicted model, not a curated record. NCBI's taxonomy places the organism in Eukaryota, Metazoa, Chordata, Actinopteri, Centrarchiformes, Centrarchidae.
GGGUUAUUGAUCGAUGCCAGAACACAAGGUGGAGUACAUCGGCAGACACACACGUCCUACGGUACGUUAUAGCUGAUGCUUUUAUCCACUACUCAGUGAAGACAACACAAUGAUUCCUAAAGCCAACGGUAAGGAGGUCAAAGGACAACAGCGCUGGAACCGGAAGAGGGAAGCAGCCUUCCAGAUGACUGAUUGAAUGGUCCCAGAGCCAUAAUAGUGCCAUUGAUCUCACUUAGGUGUCCACAGGUGAAAGGAGGAGGAAUAUAAUGAGUCUUCUUCUAGGAAGAAGAACUUCAGGGUUGCAAAUGAAUGAAACCAACUGCUCUACAUCUCUGCAGGAUUUCCUCAGCCAGUUCUUAUAGUCCAGCUCCUUGUUCGAGUCGUUGUCAAGGUCAUGCCUGCCGUUGCAGAAGACCCAGCUGGUCUGUUUGCAGAGGUUAAGGUUCUUUAUCACGGAGUCAGUCUGUCCUUGAUAUUGUGAUGGGUUAUGCAGAUUGGCCAUCCUUGACUCUCUGUAGGAAUGACACACUCCACCUGGAGCGGUGGAGUUAGGGUCAAAGUCUAACACACAGAACAGUUUCAGCUUACUCAAAAACUGCAGGUACUGCACUUGUCCUGGUCUGCUCUUGUUCACAACAACAACAAAUCUGUUAUAAGUGUCCAGCAGGUUCCCACCACACGUUAAUAAAUUCUUUAGUUUGUCA